RNAcentral lists this ribosomal RNA (497 nucleotides) under uncultured bacterium. RNAcentral describes it as "partial 16S ribosomal RNA". It matches the Rfam family "Bacterial small subunit ribosomal RNA", at positions 28 to 507 of the family's 1533-position model. The record is from RNAcentral.
GAUGAACGCUGGCGGCGUGCCUAAUACAUGCAAGUCGAGCGAACAGACGAGGAGCUUGCUCCUCUGACGUUAGCGGCGGACGGGUGAGUAACACGUGGAUAACCUACCUAUAAGACUGGGAUAACUUCGGGAAACCGGAGCUAAUACCGGAUAAUAUAUUGAACCGCAUGGUUCAAUAGUGAAAGACGGUUUUGCUGUCACUUAUAGAUGGAUCCGCGCCGCAUUAGCUAGUUGGUAAGGUAACGGCUUACCAAGGCAACGAUGCGUAGCCGACCUGAGAGGGUGAUGCGCCACACAGGAACUGAGGCACGGUCCAGACUCCUAGGGGAGGCAGCAGUAGGGAAUCUUCCGCAAUGAGCGAAAGCCUGACGAGGCAACGCCGCGUGAGUAAUGAAGGUCUUCGCAUCGUAAAACUCUGUUAUUAGGAAAGAACAAAUGUGGAAGUAACUAUGCACGUCUUGACGGUACAUAAUCAGAAAGACACGGCUAACUACGUG